AUUGAACGCUGGCGGCAGGCCUAACACAUGCAAGUCGAGCGGAUGACGGGAGCUUGCUCCUUGAUUCAGCGGCGGACGGGUGAGUAAUGCCUAGGAAUCUGCCCGGUAGUGGGGGACAACGUUUCGAAAGGAACGCUAAUACCGCAUACGUCCUACGGGAGAAAGCAGGGGACCUUCGGGCCUUGCGCUAUCAGAUGAGCCUAGGUCGGAUUAGCUAGUUGGUGGGGUAAUGGCUCACCAAGGCGACGAUCCGUAACUGGUCUGAGAGGAUGAUCAGUCACACUGGAACUGAGACACGGUCCAGACUCCUACGGGAGGCAGCAGUGGGGAAUAUUGGACAAUGGGCGAAAGCCUGAUCCAGCCAUGCCGCGUGUGUGAAGAAGGCCUUCGGAUUGUAAAGCACUUUAAGUUGGGAGGAAGGGCAGUAAGCUAAUACCUUGCUGUUUUGACGUUACCGACAGAAUAAGCACCGGCUAACUCUGUGCCAGCCGCCGCGGUAA
This 500-nucleotide ribosomal RNA is filed under the name uncultured bacterium. RNAcentral describes it as "partial 16S ribosomal RNA". It matches the Rfam family "Bacterial small subunit ribosomal RNA", at positions 30 to 523 of the family's 1533-position model. The record is from RNAcentral.